This is a non-coding RNA of Acanthosepion pharaonis, 90 nucleotides long. NCBI's taxonomy places the organism in Eukaryota, Metazoa, Mollusca, Cephalopoda, Sepiida, Sepiidae. The record is from the annotation of a GenBank genome assembly.
UUGAAAUGUUGGUUCCCGUACGAUUACCGAAGUUAAGCAGCGUCGAUCUUGGUCAGUACCUAGAUGGGUGACCGCUUGGGAAUGUGCGUG